UGGGGAAUAUUGCACAAUGGGCGCAAGCCUGAUGCAGCCAUGCCGCGUGUGUGAAGAAGGCCUUCGGGUUGUAAAGCACUUUCAGCGGGGAGGAAGGCGUUAAGGUUAAUAACCUUGGCGAUUGACGUUACCCGCAGAAGAAGCACCGGCUAACUCCGUGCCAGCAGCCGCGGUAAUACGGAGGGUGCAAGCGUUAAUCGGAAUUACUUGGCGUAAAGCGCACGCAGGCGGUCUGUCAAGUCGGAUGUGAAAUCCCCGGGCUCAACCUGGGAACUGCAUUAGAAACUGGAAGGCUAGAGUCUUGUAGAGGGGGGUAGAAUUCCAGGUGUAGCGGUGAAAUGCGUAGAGAUCUGGAGGAAUACCGGUGGCGAAGGCGGCCCCCAGGACAAAGACUGACGCUCAGGUGCGAAAGAGUGGGGAGCAAACAGG
This 429-nucleotide ribosomal RNA is filed under the name Chloroflexota bacterium. RNAcentral's name for it is "Chloroflexi bacterium partial 16S ribosomal RNA". It matches the Rfam family "Bacterial small subunit ribosomal RNA", at positions 355 to 776 of the family's 1533-position model. The record is from RNAcentral. Lineage: Bacteria; Bacillati; Chloroflexota.